AUCCAGCUGACGAGUCACAAAUAGGACAAAACGUGCGUCAAUCUGGAU
RNAcentral lists this non-coding RNA (48 nucleotides) under Schistosoma curassoni. Lineage: Eukaryota; Metazoa; Platyhelminthes; Trematoda; Strigeidida; Schistosomatidae. The record is from RNAcentral.